Nicotiana attenuata is the source of this 460-nucleotide long non-coding RNA. RefSeq lists it as uncharacterized. The record is from RefSeq and is a predicted model, not a curated record. NCBI's taxonomy places the organism in Eukaryota, Viridiplantae, Streptophyta, Magnoliopsida, Solanales, Solanaceae. The transcript has 2 exons.
UUCCUCCGAUGUGCAAUUAUUCCUAUUAUUUACCCUCCAUUUCGCUGCACACUUGAGCUAAGGAUUAGACAUUGCUUUUCUCACUGUGGCUUUGAGUCUGUAAAAAUGCACAGGUUAUAGUUAUUCUCUAUGUUUUGCUUGGACUCUCCAAAAAUGUCAUCGGGUGCGUGUCGGAUUCUCCAAAAGCAUUGUAUUUUUGGAGAAUCGAGUACGGGUGCGGCAGUGUUUCGGAUAGUCCGCGCAACAUAGGCCAAAAAAAGUUAAAGAACGCAAAAUCAAAGAAUAGGAGUUUCUAGAAGAUGCCCACGGGGGGCAAUGAAGGUGAGCUGUUGAUGAAGUGGCUCUGAUGAGAUACUCAUAUAGACAGUUGGAUAACUUGAGAUAUGACAGUGCAUCAUCUUGGUGUGUACUAUUAUUGAAAUACUUUUGAUUUAUAAAUAAAGAUAAGAUGUUCAAUGAA